AGGAAGUAGUUUAUUAAAAUAUUAAUUUUGGAGAUUAAAGAUAGAAAUUUUUCUUUUCCUGAA
This 63-nucleotide transfer RNA is filed under the name Entiminae sp. ACP-2013. Its description in RNAcentral is "tRNA-Pro". The record is from RNAcentral. Lineage: Eukaryota; Metazoa; Arthropoda; Insecta; Coleoptera; Curculionidae.